RNAcentral lists this ribosomal RNA (424 nucleotides) under uncultured Actinomycetes bacterium. RNAcentral's name for it is "bacterial SSU rRNA". It matches the Rfam family "Bacterial small subunit ribosomal RNA", at positions 608 to 1028 of the family's 1533-position model. The record is from RNAcentral. Lineage: Bacteria; Bacillati; Actinomycetota; Actinomycetes.
CUCAACCUCGGAAUUGCAGUCGAUACUGCUGUGACUCGAGUCCGGUAGAGGAGAAUGGAAUUCUCGGUGUAGCGGUGAAAUGCGCAGAUAUCGGGAGGAACACCAGUAGCGAAGGCGGUUCUCUGGGCCGGCACUGACGUUGAGGAGCGAAAGCGUGGGGAGCAAACAGGAUUAGAUACCCUGGUAGUCCACGCCGUAAACGUUGGAUACUAGGUGUGGCGGUCUUACCAACGACUGCUGUGCCGAAGCUAACGCAUUAAGUAUCCCGCCUGGGGAGUACGGCCGCAAGGCUAAAACUCAAAGGAAUUGACGGGUCCCCGCACAAGCGGCGGAGCAUGCGGCUUAAUUCGAUGCAACCCGAAGAACCUUACCUGGGUUUGACAUCACGGGAAAAGCUGUAGAAAUACAGUGUCCAUUAGGGCCC